This 253-nucleotide ribosomal RNA is filed under the name uncultured bacterium. RNAcentral describes it as "partial 16S ribosomal RNA". It matches the Rfam family "Bacterial small subunit ribosomal RNA", at positions 524 to 776 of the family's 1533-position model. The record is from RNAcentral.
GACAGAGGGGGCAAGCGUUGCUCGGAAUUACUGGGCGUAAAGGGCGCGUAGGCGGGAUGGCAAGUCGGUCGUGAAAUCCCUCGGCUCAACCGAGGAACGUCGAUCGAUACUGCUGUUCUUGAGGAUUGCAGAGGAGACUGGAAUUCCCGGUGUAGCGGUGAAAUGUGUAGAGAUCGGGAGGAACACCGGUGGCGAAGGCGGGUCUCUGGGCAGAUACUGACGCUGAGACGCGAAAGCAUGGGGAGCAAACAGG